Dermacentor albipictus is the source of this 4894-nucleotide long non-coding RNA. RefSeq lists it as uncharacterized. NCBI's taxonomy places the organism in Eukaryota, Metazoa, Arthropoda, Arachnida, Ixodida, Ixodidae. The record is from RefSeq and is a predicted model, not a curated record.
CUAGGAUAGUGGUAAGCUGCCGAUCAUGAUUUUAUACAGCGUGCCAUAUGCGGCCCAAUGGAUUUUCUUUUCCUCACAAUUUCUUUGCCUUAAUCGGGAUAAGAUUUCACUACUUUGCCUUGAUCUGUCAUUCUAGAGGCUGACAACCAAUCAGAAAUUCUGUUGUCUCGCUAGGAAAUUCAACAUUACUUUAGAUUUGUGUAUUAUAAUUUUAAACCUUACUCAUUCAAUUGGCUCAGUUAUGCCAGUCAAACCUUACCGUUACCAGCAAUUCCCACGAGAGAAAAGAUAAAGAGAUCGCACAGCGCAUUGAUACACACCUAAGAAUUCCCUACCAAGAAGUUUGAAAGUUACAACCGGAAAUUGAUCGUUCUAGCAGAACAUCAUGUGCACAGCAGUCCUUAGCCCUAAUUGGAAGAAAAUGAAAUGUUACAUUCGUCAAUCACUCUGUAGCUAAAUAUAACUUGAGCAAAACUGCACGCUGUGUUCAGCAAAGGUAGAAUGAAUAUAAUCGAAGAGGAGAAAAUGCAGGUGGCGUCCAUCUUCCAAACAUACGGUUAUCGCCGAAAGUUCAAAGAAACAAAUCUUUGAUGUUCAUUCGAAUCAACUACGGCAAGAAAGAUACUCGAAGUAAAAAAAAAGUAUAAUGAUUGGGUUUGUUAUGCGUCAGCAUCGUAUGGGUUCUGUUCUUGUCUCAUGUGAGAAAUCGCUGUGUCACGGAGUGGAUGGCCUAGGCCAUUCUGCACAACCUAUUAUGUCGCGCUUCAUGUCAGGGUUUUGUCUCUUCCCUGUGCUUAGACCGUAUUAUUGAUUUGUUGGGAAUUGGUACUAUGUUAUUCUGGUUCCCUUGCGUUUGCCCGUUCUGGUUUUUCCUUUCCAUCGUUUACUGUCCCAUCAGCGCAUUAAUAUCUUCGCAGGAAACACCAAGGGCCGUAUCUUUGCUUUCAAAUUGCGUUCCUGUGUAUGAAAAUAUGUGGGUGAAUAAUUGUCAUUCAGGCGCGGAUGGCCAGUGGUUCAGCAGCAGCAUCUGAGACGAUCACUUCUUAGGCGAUCACUUUCACAGGUAAUCACACCGCCUCAGUGCGAGUGUACAGCCGAAAGCUUUCCUCGCUUUGUGCCGAGAUUGCUAUCUGAGGGUGUACAGAAUAGUGCAAGGUUUCCUGUCCGCAUCUCUCUUUUGUUUUUCACAUACACGUGGGAUGUUUUUCUUUCUUUCAUUUUUCAUGAGUGCCAAGAACAAACGAUCCACAUGUGCCUGUCAUACACGGACUGUCCAUCAAAGGCGAUGCUCGCUUUUCGUGGGUCCUCAUCGGGUCAAGCACUGGACGCAUCACCGUGGCCGACUACAGGAAUAACGCCACCAAGGGGACCUGCGUCUUGCUGCCUGACCUGCAGAACGGGUGGCGAAGCCUUCUAGCACGAUGGUGCCUCGGAGCCUCCACUGCGGAUCUGGUUGCCAGCUGAUCUUGCGACCUGGUAUCUCAACGCCAGUCCAGUUGUUCUGCCUUCAUGUGUUGCUGCGCACCCCGUACACCUCAUGGCAAGCUGUUUUUGUGGCCUCCUCCCGGGCUGCUGAAAAGAUCGCACAUGCGCUAAGGAAUCACAGGCUUGUAGCGGAGCAGGCAGGAAGCUGUAUGUCGGGCUCAAGGAAGCAGUUGACGUAUUUGUUGCAAACUGAGGUCUCCGUGUCACCCUCAAAGAGCAACGUGCUCAUCGCAUGUGGCGAUGAUGGCGAGGACCUCCCCACCACGGACUUGGAACUGCAAUCCCUCGAUCGGGAGCAACCUGCUGCCGGACCGCCGAACAGACGCUGACCCAGGCUGGAAAAGUUCACCUGGAACGUCAAGUCUCGAACCGGCGUCAGAGUGGCCACAUUUAUUGUCACGACAACGAGGCAAUUGACACCAUUGCUCGAAAUCCCAACAAACGCGUGGUUACACACAUACACACAAAUAAAGAGACUCCAAACAGCGCUGGCCGCAUGGCCAGGAGAGGACGACGAUGGCGGCGUUCAGCGCCGAUGACGUGCAAGACGACUCACGCUUUCGUACCACGAGUCCAACUAAUAAGUAUUUGCGGGGUAGAUCUUCGGUAGCCUCAGGAUAGGUUGGGGCGGGUCAUCGAAAUAGAGCUUCGGUAACACAGGCUUACGGAGUUACCCUGUUGGUAUCGGCAGAGGAAACUCGAGGAGUGAAACGGUGGGUGGCAUGAAUAGCCCGCCGAACGGAAAACCACGCACGCCGACGAAAUGUGAUGUUCACGGGAGCGUAUUCCCGCAAUGUGUUCUUCAUCCAGUCACCAAUGUGUUUCUGCACCCUUUUAACCCUGUACUGCACAACGCAGAUUCUGUAUAGUGCGCGUUUGAGAUUUCGUAAUUUAAAUUUGCGUACGUGGAACACAAGUAGCCGUACUAAUUCACCAUCAGGGUAUUUUCAUGUCCACUACAUGAAGAAGGCCUCUCCCAGCGAUCUCGCAUUACCGCUAUCCUGUGCCAGCUACUUCCAACUUGCGCCUGCGAAUUUUCUUAUCUCAGCUCGACUGCGCUUCCGUUUUCUUGGCACCCAUUUUGUAACCCUAACGCUCCAACGUUUAUCCAUCCUACGCAUUACAUAGCCUACCCAGCUCCAUUCCUUUCUCUUUAUUUCGAUUACAAUAGCGCGUAUCCCUGUUUACCCUCUAAUCCACAGCUCUUCUCCCGUCUCUGAACGUUACGCCUAACGUUAUUGGCCCCAUUGCUCUUUCCGCGGUCUUGUUCUCGAGCUUCUUCAACCUACAUGUUUCGGCCUCAUAUGUUGGCGCCAGUAGAAUGCAGUGAUUGUAGACUUUUUCUGCGACAGUGUUUUUUUAGUCAUAGUGGCUUUUUUCUCCCGCUCAGGAUCUGGCAAUGCUUGCCGUACGCACUCCAACUUAUUCUUUCGCUUCUGUAAAUUGCUUUGUCUUGAUCAGCGUCUCUUGCGACUUCUGACCUAGGUAGAUGGACUCGUUCACAGACCCUAGAGGCUGAUUGGCAAUCCUGAACUUUUGUUCCCUUGCCAGGUUAUUGAUCAUUUCUCCUGAUAUUAAUCCAACUGCACCAUUACGCUUUUUGUUAAGGCCCUCAAUCAUUUGUAAUUCCUCCCCGUGUUGCUUAACAGGACGUCGUCUGCAAACCGAAGGUUGCUGAGAUGUUGGCCGUUGAACCUCUCGUAGUCCAUAUUUUGGCAGCUUUCGUACUGUGAAGCAUGCAGUGAAUACCAUUGGAGAGUUUGCGUCUCCUUCACUGACUGUUUUAUGCGUACAUUUCUACUUUUCUUGUGGAGAAAAAAGGUAGCUGAGGAAUGGUUUGAGCUAUUUCCGAAUAUAUUCACGUAUGCCAUAUGUACUUCUUGAUUACGUAAUACUUCUAUGAAAAUGCAUUUGAUUCCUUAGAGACACCAGCAGUCGUAAUGAAUGAAAGGAUUGUAGAGUGGAUUGUAGAGUCGAUUGCCUUACUGAUGACAGGAGGAAGAAGAGAAGGGAAAGAGAUCUGUUGAACAUCCCGAAGCCAGCCUUUUAUUUUGCCUCACUGAGGUUGAGUGGUGGCUUUACUCAAUGGGAAAUUCGUGAAUUUGUUGGAGCCAUGUGGCGGUUGUGAUUAGGUUCGGAAUCUAAUUGCAAACGAGCGCUUGCUGAACUUAUUCACAGUGGAAAUGUGUCCUCGAAGACGAGAAAUCGAGGAAAUUCUAUGAUUUUUCUUAUGUGGAACUGUGUUUGGGCACUACAGGGUUAACUACUCCCUAAUACUAUUCGCGUUAGUGUUGUGUGCUUUGAACAGUGAACUCUGCAAUGUAUUUGGAGACUUCCGCAACUAGCGGUUUCGUUAACGGACAACGAAGCCUCGUCGGACACGUUACUUAUACUGCUAUUCACAGAGAAUCGCAAGGACUCGCCAGAGGUCGAGUAAGUAAGAAAAAAAAAAUCUGGCAAUGACCUAUGACGCGCCACUGGUGCCUAUCGAUGAUGUAGCCGGUGCAGAUACCCAUGCCACUGGCAUUAUGCGCAAGCUAAGCAAUCGUCUUUCAGGAUUGAAGAGACUGUUCGAUUGACCGGUUCAGUUUAGCGUUUGCAACCGAACAAUCGCAUUACGUACGUGAAGAAAUAUCGACCCUGGACACGUCCUGAACGUUAGUGGCGUUUUGCGGCUUGCGUGCGCUAUGAUAGCGUACGGUAUUUGAGAAGUUUCAGGUUCGAGUGUCCGUACGCUUAGUAGUGUCGAACAUGGCGGCGCCCAUGGCUCCAGCUUCAGCGUAUGUUCUGAUAACCGCUCUCUGAGACGCGUUUGUCACCAGUACCUAUAAAAAUGAGUGUUAUAGGUACUGGCGACCUGAAACUCGCCUGAAACAUUACCGCAUAGCACGUAAAAUUUCAGGUCAGCCGGCGAUUCCGGCGCCCGUAGGCCUAACCAGACACGUCGGCGUAGGAACGGCGAGGCGUUUGCUAAUGGAUUGUCUUGGCUUGGAUACGUUUCGCACGAGGCACCAGACGGCAGUAUGUUUUGCGGAGUCUUUGCGUUUGUGCUCCCAUGCGGUAAACUGGUCGUCUUGAACGGACGCACGCCGGAACAUCCCACAAAUCUGAUUACGUUUAGCGUAAAUCGGCAAACUCGCUUCUUAAACCGUCUGAUAUUUCGUGCUCUAUUGAAGUUCCACCGCGGGCAUUUCUCUGGUGCCCUAUCCUUCGGCAUGAACGGCCGCACGCUUCUGCCUGGCCGGAGGCUUCCUGAAAGCUGUCCUAGAUGGUCUGCGUCUAAAAUGAAGAUUGCAGUGUCUCGAGCAGCUACCGCCUUUCGGGGUCUUGCAAAGUUGAGUUUGAUGUCUCCAUUCUGUGUGUGUGCGUGCGCACGCUGUUUCACACCAGAAAUUUGUAAUAACGUUCA